Molecule: unclassified non-coding RNA, 299 nt
Filed under: plant metagenome
Description: partial contains 5.8S ribosomal RNA, internal transcribed spacer 2, and large subunit ribosomal RNA
Rfam family: 5.8S ribosomal RNA (bases 1-105)
Source: RNAcentral
GAAAUGCGAUAAGUAAUGUGAAUUGCAGAAUUCAGUGAAUCAUCGAAUCUUUGAACGCACAUUGCGCUCGCCAGUAUUCUGGCGAGCAUGCCUGUUCGAGCGUCAUUUCAACCAUCAAGCCCUGCUUGCGUUGGGGAUCCGCGGCUGCCCGCGGUCCCUCAAAAACAGUGGCGGGCUCGCUGGUCACACCGAGCGUAGUAACUCUACAUCGCUAUGGUCGUGCGGCGGGUUCUUGCCGUAAAACCCCCAAUUUCUAAGGUUGACCUCGGAUCAGGUAGGAAUACCCGCUGAACUUAAGC